RNAcentral lists this ribosomal RNA (445 nucleotides) under uncultured bacterium. RNAcentral's name for it is "partial 16S ribosomal RNA". It matches the Rfam family "Bacterial small subunit ribosomal RNA", at positions 354 to 796 of the family's 1533-position model. The record is from RNAcentral.
GUGAGGAAUAUUGGACAAUGGGCGCAAGCCUGAUCCAGCCAUGCCGCGUGCAGGAAGACGCAUCUAUGGUGUGUAAACUGCUUUUGUACGGGAAGAAACACUCCCUCGUGAGGGAGCUUGACGGUACCGUAAGAAUAAGGAUCGGCUAACUCCGUGCCAGCAGCCGCGGUAAUACGGAGGAUCCAAGCGUUAUCCGGAAUCAUUGGGUUUAAAGGGUCCGUAGGCGGUUUAAUAAGUCAGUGGUGAAAGCCCAUCGCUCAACGAUGGAACGGCCAUUGAUACUGUUAGACUUGAAUUACAAGGAAGUAACUAGAAUAUGUAGUGUAGCGAUGAAAUGCUUAGAUAUUACAUGGAAUACCAAUUGCGAAGGCAGGUUACUACUUGUGGAUUGACGCUGAUGGACGAAAGCGUGGGGAGCGAACAGGAUUAGAUACCCUAGUAGUCC